GUUUCUCAAACCGUCCCUUCCCAUUUAUGCUGCAUCCGCGCCCUGAAUCUGAAAUUGGUCGUCCUGCCACGCCGCCUCCCCGCGGUAUAAGGUCGUCCCAUCCUGAAUGGCCGGUGCGCAGACUCAAUUGCGACUUUGAGGCUGUCAGCCGCCACCCGGCAACCUUCCAGUGAACAGGAUUCUGGGUUUCUCAAAGCUGUAAUUGGAGGGCCACUCCAGAGGUGUUAAAGCUCCCUCACUUCCAGCCUGCCUCGUGGGAAGGUCUUAGGCUAAGUCUGUAGGUGCCUGCAGUUAAGAAGCCAGCGGUCUGCAUAUGAUUGCUCAGAGGUGGUGGCUGGGUACCAACAGCAUUCACUACAGGCCUGCCUUGAAUACCACCUAACUCAGUGCUCCGCAUAUCACAGAUAUUGGAACAUCUCUAGAAAAGAUUGCCUUGUCUUAUGAAAAUUGCUUUUUUAAAAAAUCCUAAUUCCAACUGGUCAUCCUAGCAACUGAUACAAUAACUGACCUGCAAAAUGUUUCCCAAUGAUUCCUACCUCCUACUAUUCACACUCUUAUGUAGUUCCCUCCCACAUUGUACCAGGGUUGGACUGUGAGACUAAUAGAAUACAGUAGCAGUGAUAGAUGUCACUGCUGAGAUUAAAUAUAAUAAAAGGCACCUUGACUUCUAUC
Molecule: non-coding RNA, 672 nt
Filed under: Pongo abelii (Sumatran orangutan)
Lineage: Eukaryota; Metazoa; Chordata; Mammalia; Primates; Hominidae
Source: RNAcentral